Leopardus geoffroyi (Geoffroy's cat) is the source of this 1583-nucleotide long non-coding RNA. RefSeq lists it as uncharacterized. Lineage: Eukaryota; Metazoa; Chordata; Mammalia; Carnivora; Felidae. The record is from RefSeq and is a predicted model, not a curated record. The transcript has 4 exons.
CAUAUUUAGAUGCUCUGAUUGUACAAGGUAGGUGAGGCAUGAACAAAGGCACAUCCAGAGGGUGAUGCUCAACCUCUCUCCAGAUGAGAAGCUCAAAUCAGCUUUUGCUUUUGUGGGGAAUCAAAAUUUAAUAUAUAAUCUAAAAUCCUCCCAGCUUAUGGAACUCAGGUCACAGGUCCUAGGAGAGAAGAUGAAACUUUCAUUUACCUUUACCCUAUACGUGGAGAGAUUCUGUGCAUAACCGCUUAAACCAACAGCUGGUAGAUUUUGAUGCAUUUAUAUCUGCUUACACAAGAUCAACUCCCACCAUAAACACUGAAUUCUGUUUAUAACAGAAGGGCAGGAUCCGCGGGUAGCAUCACCAGAGCGCUCCGGGCUCUUUUUUUCCCCCCUUUUCUCAGAGACUCCAGAGGAAUGUGCCUUUGUACCGCCUCACUAGCAUCCCUAAAUCAUGAUUAAUUUAAAGCCUUUUCUCUCCUUAGUUAGGCCUGACACAAGCAACCGCUUUUCUGUCACAUCGAUUUUUCUGUCCUUGCAGAUUCGAAGCCAGGGCUGAGUCCUCCUAACAGGGCGAGUUCUCUGACAAGGAAGUUUUGCAAGCAAAUUUACAGCUGGAGUCAAGCUCGUCAGUGAGGGCCAGAGGGGAACUGUCGCAAUCCACUGGGUGUUUGAAAAAUGCCUCUAACGUGUGUGGGCUAGAAUACAUUUUGUUUUUCUGUGGGCAUAUUCAUUUAACAAGGGCAGCCUUUGAGGACGAUCAAAAACUGUUUGUCAUUUUUCCAAAUCAUCUCUCUCUGCGGUGACCAUGACUUAAUCCUGAAGGAAAACAAGUCUUUUCCCUUCUGGUCUCUGUGCUCUUGAAGGACAUUUGGGCCUGAAGUCCCAGGACUUAAGGCUGAUCCCGGCACAGAUGAGGACAGGAAGAGUUCCUGGAUCCAGCCUUGCGUGAAGCUACUCUGCCCUUAAACUUUUCAGUAAGACAAAACAGUGUUUUUUGUUUGUUUGUUUGUUUUGUUUUUAAGUAGGAAGCAAUGGAGAUCUGCUGUUUGUUCCUCUCCUGUCUCUUUCUCUCUAGCUCUCAGACCUUUGCCUUUGCUCAUGUUUGCGAGUGCUUUGCUCCAUUGUAGUGACUCUCACGACGGAUCGUAAGUCUCAUUCUAGAUAUUGGAACAAUCUAAAGUUCGUGAGAUCUCCAACCCACGGGCUAGGGACCCUUGGGAGAUUGUGGAGUUGUAAGGUCAGCAUCUGAAAAUCCGUCCAUCCAUUUAUGUCUUCUUAAUCAAUGAAUACUAAAAGUGAAAUCAUUAGCAUGUGGGAAGAUAACACUUUUCGACAGCUCCAGGAGAAGACUGAGUAGGCAUUCAAUAGAUAUCAUCGAGCUACUACUAUAUAACUUGACAAGGUUAAGUGCCCUAUAUGAAGCAUUUAACACAUAUUAUGGCAUAGUAUUUAGACGGGACUAUUAUCCUUGUUGUUUUGACAUAGAAAAAUAAAUUUAUAUAUAUAUAUAUAUAUAUAUAUAUAUUCUUUAUUCACUAUUCAUUUAACACAUUUAUUUUUUAAACUAUUAUGUUCUCGAUGAC